GGCAAUUUAUGCUAAGAGGGAUCUAUGUAAAAACGAAGAGUUACGCUACGAUUACGGUGUGAAGGACCUUCCAUGGCGAAUUCAAAAGGACCGAUUAAAACACAAACGAGAAAAAUUCACAGGGCUAACGAUCGCAGAGAAGGCAAAUGAAAGUGCCAAAGACCAACAAAAUGAGGACACUCCCCUCGGAUCCAUGGUUAUUGAUGAUCAUGCUCAAGUUACUAGCCAAGCGAACAACCAGAGUAA
This 246-nucleotide long non-coding RNA is filed under the name Dendronephthya gigantea. RNAcentral's name for it is "uncharacterized LOC114542628, transcript variant X1". Lineage: Eukaryota; Metazoa; Cnidaria; Anthozoa; Malacalcyonacea; Nephtheidae. The record is from RNAcentral.